AGCGAACGCUGGCGGCAGGCUUAACACAUGCAAGUCGAACGGUCCUUCGGGAUAGUGGCGGACGGGUGAGUAACACGUGGGAACGUGCCUUUAGGUUCGGAACAACACAGGGAAACUUGUGCUAAUACCGGAUGUGCCCUUCGGGGGAAAGAUUUAUCGCCUUUAGAGCGGCCCGCGUCUGAUUAGCUUGUUGGUGAGGUAAUGGCUCACCAAGGCGACGAUCAGUAGCUGGUCUGAGAGGAUGACCAGCCACAUUGGGACUGAGACACGGCCCAAACUCCUACGGGAGGCAGCAGUGGGGAAUCUUGCGCAAUGGGCGAAAGCCUGACGCAGCCAUGCCGCGUGAAUGAUGAAGGUCUUAGGAUUGUAAAAUUCUUUCACCGGGGACGAUAAUGACGGUACCCGGAGAAGAAGCCCCGGCUAACUUCGUGCCAGCCGCCGCGGUAA
This 447-nucleotide ribosomal RNA is filed under the name uncultured bacterium. RNAcentral describes it as "partial 16S ribosomal RNA". It matches the Rfam family "Bacterial small subunit ribosomal RNA", at positions 29 to 523 of the family's 1533-position model. The record is from RNAcentral.